RNAcentral lists this long non-coding RNA (1223 nucleotides) under Salvator merianae (Argentine black and white tegu). Its description in RNAcentral is "lncRNA (ENSSMRG00000020755.1)". Lineage: Eukaryota; Metazoa; Chordata; Lepidosauria; Squamata; Teiidae. The record is from RNAcentral.
CGAAGGGUUAACCCUUUCCAGCCCGGAGCUGGGGAAGCCAGUUGCUCCUCACGUCCGCCUUUUAAGGCCAACGCUCUCCUUGCCCCGCUCUGCUCCUUCUCAUGGCGGCGGCUUUUCCCUUGGCGGCGGCUUGCGGUUUAAAGCCUCCCGGGAGUCCUUUGCAGAAGCAGCAGCGCCCAGGCUUCUCCUGAGCAGAAAAGCAAAACAAGAACUUCUUUGUGCAGUACAUACAACGAUUGGAGAUCUAAGCAGAAACCAAGGAGCAGAGUUGCUUGCCUUAUCUCGGCGUGAGACCAGGACUUAUCAUAUCCUUUCUUGGUAGUCUUGGAAAGUCUUCUGUCUUCACUGGUUCAUGGAAUAUUGUGCUGUUUUGUAUGUUCAGAGAAAUGUAUCUACCUAAUUAGCACCUUGGGGACUUGAUAUGGACAGGGAAUGUAAUUAAAAACCUAUACGUAGAUACUAAAGGAGAAAUGUACUUGGACUGCAAAUCACUUGUUUUACACAUCUGAAAAUCAGCAGAUAAGGGGCAACCUAGAGGAAGCAGAAAUGUAACUCCAGGAUAACUAUAUGUGUGUGACAUAGAAUAGAUAAGUAGUGCAAUCCUAACNUCACUUUCCUUAGACCAAGAACCACUGAGUAUAAUAGAACUUACUUCUGAGUAAGCACGGUUAGGAGUGCACAGUAAACGGGCUACAUAAUUUCAGUCUCUGGAACACCAAUUUACAUGAAAAAAGACAGCCGUAUGAGAAACACCAGCAGGUAUGUCACAAUAUGCAGAUAAUACGCGUUUCAGGGCUAGCUAGCCAUGUACAUAUGGCUUUGAUAUUUUCUGACUCAAACAACUAAUUGCAUAUGCAAUAUCUGGGCGUGUCCAAUUGGAAAUGUUCAACAAACUGCCCACUACAGAACGAUAAAGUUCUGGAUUAACAAAUGGAAUAAUGUUUAGUUGCUUUAGAAAAUCAGCCACCAUUGGAGUUUUGACUGGAUUUGUUUCAUGCAACUUUGUUUUAUAGAUUAACUCUUGAAUCUUUUGAGAUUGACUCAGUAACAUGCUACUAGAUGUUAACCAUNUAAUGUCUAUUCCCAGAUAAUGAGACAAAUAUCCCAAGUCCUUGAUAACAAAAGAAGAAUUUAACUUAGAAUAUAUUUGCUGAAUUAUGUCAUCCGUUUUAGCUGAAAUANACAAAUCAUCAACAUACAAUAAAAUGAUAACUUGUUGAUCA